This 222-nucleotide long non-coding RNA is filed under the name Solanum tuberosum (potato). Its description in RNAcentral is "long non-coding RNA (STUB_LNC010790)". The record is from RNAcentral. Lineage: Eukaryota; Viridiplantae; Streptophyta; Magnoliopsida; Solanales; Solanaceae.
UACUACUCCCUCCGUCCCUAUUUACUUGUCCAUAUUUCCUUUUUUGGUUGUCCCUAUUUAGUUGUCCAUUUUGACAAAUCAAGAAAGGACAACAAAUUUUUUCCUAUUAUACCCUUAUUUACACUUCUUGAAAAUUGUAAAAGUGUAUGUUGUUUCCCUCCAAUUUAUUUCACUUGAAUUCAAAUAAGUGGUUGUAAUUUUGAAGUGAAAAGUUGUCAUAAG